CUAGGGUGGGCUGUGAUGGAUACGCUGAACAUCUGCGGAGGAAACUGUAUACGGUAGCAAUCCGAGCGGUGGAGAAAUUUAUGGCGUUGUUGACAAACACAUUCCCCUGAUAAGGGUUCCAUGUUCAACUAAUAAUCACUUUUCAGCCAAACUAUAGAUUCUUGAUUUGUAAAAUAUAAACUUAAAGCCCUUCGAACACUAUUAGACUGCCAAACAAGUUACCGCUGCCGUCUGGGAAUGUACGACGAUAUUCAUCAUUUUGUGCAACAAUGACGGUUGACAGAUAAUGGAACUAUUGCCUUAAUGUGUUUCUGAAAAUAUUUAUUUAUAAAGAAAAUGCACCCUUGUGGUUUGUUUUGGUCAACAUAAUACUGUAUUUACAGUCACUUUAAUAUCGCAUCUUUUCGAGUGUAAAUGAUAUGCAUUAUAUAUAUAAAAUACAUAGAUAUGUAUGAAAGUGUCAAAGUUCUGGAAAAAGAUUAUUAUGUUCGUUGUUUCCAAAUGUAUUUGUCAAUUGUUUUUCGGUGCAGUGGGAAUUAUGAUGAAUGCAAGUGAAAAUCUGUGUGUUUUUUUGUGGAAGAAGAUGUUUUGAAAUAAAUAAAUAAAUUGUUAAAAUAA
Long non-coding RNA from Stegodyphus dumicola, 618 nucleotides. RefSeq lists it as uncharacterized. NCBI's taxonomy places the organism in Eukaryota, Metazoa, Arthropoda, Arachnida, Araneae, Eresidae. The record is from RefSeq and is a predicted model, not a curated record.